RNAcentral lists this ribosomal RNA (433 nucleotides) under uncultured bacterium. RNAcentral describes it as "partial 16S ribosomal RNA". It matches the Rfam family "Bacterial small subunit ribosomal RNA", at positions 29 to 507 of the family's 1533-position model. The record is from RNAcentral.
AGCGAACGCUGGCGGCAGGCUUAACACAUGCAAGUCGAGCGGGCCCUUCGGGGUCAGCGGCGGACGGGUGAGUAACGCGUGGGAACGUGCCUUCUGGUUCGGAAUAACUCAGGGAAACUUGAGCUAAUACCGGAUACGCCCUUUUGGGGAAAGGUUUACUGCCGGAAGAUCGGCCCGCGUCUGAUUAGCUAGUUGGUGGGGUAACGGCCUACCAAGGCGACGAUCAGUAGCUGGUCUGAGAGGAUGAUCAGCCACACUGGGACUGAGACACGGCCCAGACUCCUACGGGAGGCAGCAGUGGGGAAUAUUGGACAAUGGGCGCAAGCCUGAUCCGGCCAUGCCGCGUGAGUGAUGAAGGCCUUAGGGUUGUAAAGCUCUUUUAUCCGGGACGAUAAUGACGGUACCGGAGGAAUAAGCCCCGGCUAACUUCGUG